Molecule: ribosomal RNA, 483 nt
Filed under: uncultured bacterium
Lineage: Bacteria
Description: partial 16S ribosomal RNA
Rfam family: Bacterial small subunit ribosomal RNA
Source: RNAcentral
GACGAACGCUGGCGGCGUGCUUAACACAUGCAAGUCGAACGCUGAAGCUCAGCUUUUGUUGGGUGGAUGAGUGGCGAACGGGUGAGUAACACGUGAGUAACCUGCCCCCUUCUUUGGGAUAACGCCCGGAAACGGGUGCUAAUACUGGAUAUUCACUGGUCUUCGCAUGGGGGUUGGUGGAAAGGGUUUUUCUGGUGGGGGAUGGGCUCGCGGCCUAUCAGCUUGUUGGUGGGGUGAUGGCCUACCAAGGCUUUGACGGGUAGCCGGCCUGAGAGGGUGACCGGUCACAUUGGGACUGAGAUACGGCCCAGACUCCUACGGGAGGCAGCAGUGGGGAAUAAUGCACAAUGGGCGCAAGCCUGAUGCAGCGACGCCGCGUGAGGGAUGGAGGCCUUCGGGUUGUGAACCUCUUUCGCUCACGGUCAAGCCGCAACAAUGGUUGUGGUGAGGGUAGUGGGUAAAGAAGCGCCGGCUAACUACGUG